AGAAUCAUCACAUUCGCAAAAAAAAUCUGAAAGGCAUGGACAAUACCACAAACAUUCUAUGGAACAAAUUCAAAGACUUGAUGCAUUCUUCAAGAAAUGCCCGCAUCCAGAUGAGGAUCAACAAAAACAAUUGGGUAGCGAAGCAGGGCUUCACCAUAAGCAGUCAAGCUUUGGUUCCAAAACAGAAGGGCUCAAGCAAAGGAUGAAAAAGUAUCAAAUAUCAUCUCACAUGUUUUUGGAAGACCUUUUGUGAUGGAUUCAAAUUUGGCACCACAAAUAUCGACUCUUGGAUCACCUUCAAAUUCAUCUGAUGGAAGUUUGUUGAACAAAGACACAUGCGGAUCUCCCAUUAGAUAUCCUCCUCUUCGUCAAGAAAACAAUCAAAAUACUAAUAAUGUUCAUGCACAUUCAAUGAUCUCUCAAUCACCACAAGAACAUGAUGAAUGUAAUCAGCAUAGUAGGCAGCAAAAAAUUAUGUUUGAGACUGUUGUUGCUUCUAUGAAUGAAAUGGUUGAACUUUGGAAGAUGAAUGAUCCUUUUUGGGUAGAUUCAUCAAGUGAUAGGCGG
Molecule: non-coding RNA, 567 nt
Organism: Solanum lycopersicum (tomato)
Lineage: Eukaryota; Viridiplantae; Streptophyta; Magnoliopsida; Solanales; Solanaceae
Source: RefSeq, a predicted model, not a curated record